Molecule: ribosomal RNA, 460 nt
Filed under: uncultured bacterium
Lineage: Bacteria
Description: partial 16S ribosomal RNA
Rfam family: Bacterial small subunit ribosomal RNA
Source: RNAcentral
CCUACGGGUGGCAGCAGUGAGGAAUAUUGGUCAAUGGCCGGAAGGCUGAACCAGCCAAGCCGCGUGAGGGAGGAAGGCGCAGAGCGUCGCAGACCUCUUUUGCCGGGGGACAAAAGGCCGGACUCGUCCGGUCCUGAGGGUACCCGGAGAAAAAGCAUCGGCUAACUCCGUGCCAGCAGCCGCGGUAAUACGUAGGGGGCAAGCGUUAUCCGGAUUUACUGGGUGUAAAGGGAGCGUAGGCGGUGCAGCAAGUCAGAAGUGAAAGCCCGGGGCUCAACUCCGGGACUGCUUUUGAAACUGUUGAACUAGAUUGCAGGAGAGGUAAGUGGAAUUCCUGGUGUAGCGGUGAAAUGCGUAGAUAUUAGGAGGAACACCAGUGGCGAAGGCGGCUUACUGGACUGUAAAUGACGCUGAGGCUCGAAAGCGUGGGGAGCAAACAGGAUUAGAUACCCGGGUAGUC